CUGCACGAAUGGCGUAACGAUGGCGGCGCUGUCUCCACCCGAGACUCAGUGAAAUUGAAAUCGCUGUGAAGAUGCAGUGUAUCCGCGGCUAGACGGAAAGACCCCGUGAACCUUUACUAUAGCUUUGCACUGGACUUUGAAUUUGCUUGUGUAGGAUAGGUGGGAGGCUUUGAAGCGUGGACGCCAGUUCGCGUGGAGCCAACCUUGAAAUACCACCCUGGCAACUUUGAGGUUCUAACUCAGGUCCGUUAUCCGGAUCGAGGACAGUGUAUGGUGGGUAGUUUGACUGGGGCGGUCUCCUCCUAAAGAGUAACGGAGGAGUACGAAGGUGCGCUCAGACCGGUCGGAAAUCGGUCGUAGAGUAUAAAGGCAAAAGCGCGCUUGACUGCGAGACAGACACGUCGAGCAGGUACGAAAGUAGGUCUUAUUGAUCCGGUGGUUCUGUAUGGAAGGGCCAUCGCUCAACGGAUAAAAGGUACUCCGGGGAUAACAGGCUGAUACCGCCCAAGAGUUCAUAUCGACGGCGGUGUUUGGCACCUCGAUGUCGGCUCAUCACAUCCUGGGGCUGAAGCCGGUCCCAAGGGUAUGGCUGUUCGCCAUUUAAAGAGGUACGUGAGCUGGGUUUAGAACGUCGUGAGACAGUUCGGUCCCUAUCUGCCGUGGGUGUAGGAGUAUUGAGA
RNAcentral lists this ribosomal RNA (680 nucleotides) under uncultured Isochrysis. Its description in RNAcentral is "partial Bacterial large subunit ribosomal RNA". It matches the Rfam family "Bacterial large subunit ribosomal RNA", at positions 1988 to 2667 of the family's 2925-position model. The record is from RNAcentral. Lineage: Eukaryota; Haptophyta; Isochrysidales.